AACGUGUUCAACAUUUACACGGCUUCACAGUGCACUAGAGUGUGUGAAUGAAGAUGGGCUGCCAGAUCCAGAUCAGAUCUUUCAAGAGCAGCGUAGGUACACGCAUGCAGUCGUCACAUCUGACAACCACCACCACGGCGGGACAGCAACUGAGGAGGUCCAAAGUGGAAUGCCAGUACUGCAAAGCUCGGGUACUCUUAGUUCUG
This is a long non-coding RNA of Ornithodoros turicata, 206 nucleotides long. RefSeq lists it as uncharacterized. NCBI's taxonomy places the organism in Eukaryota, Metazoa, Arthropoda, Arachnida, Ixodida, Argasidae. The record is from RefSeq and is a predicted model, not a curated record. The transcript is spliced from 3 exons.